This is a long non-coding RNA of Limulus polyphemus (Atlantic horseshoe crab), 490 nucleotides long. RefSeq lists it as uncharacterized. NCBI's taxonomy places the organism in Eukaryota, Metazoa, Arthropoda, Merostomata, Xiphosura, Limulidae. The transcript is spliced from 3 exons. The record is from RefSeq and is a predicted model, not a curated record.
CGAAUCUUGAUUCCUGUUGUCUUCCUAAUACUAUUCUGUUCCUGGUUGGUUCAGGCUCGCUAUUUGCCUACAAGGGCUGACGAAAAAGAGAAAAAUCAAAUAAAGGACGUACUACAGAUGUUAGUAGAGAUGAGCUCUGGAGACAAUGCUGAAGCUGACAAGCCAACUGUGUUGAUCGACUUUCAAAGGCCUAUACUCACUGUUAUACCUGACUCAUUUACCCUCGGAGUGAAGGACCACUAUCGGCAGAAAGAUCUAUCUUAAAUGUUCUUUUUCAUUAAAUUUGUUUGUUUUCAGAUUCCCACAAGGAUAAUUCAACCUGAAGCAUACUUUAGAAACCCAGAUAAUUAUCUUCCGAAUUUUGAUUUGUCUUCUUAAGUCGUUCAAGAUUGAAAAACCCCAAGACAAAAAAAAGACAGAAAGAAUGAAAAUUCGUGAAAUGUGAUUCUCGCUUUGAAUUCUUAUCUUUUCUUGUUAUGAAUAUUUUGCU